GUGACAGCCGCCGCGGUAAGACAGAGGAUGCAAACGUUGCUCGGAGUUACUGGGCGUAAAGCGCGUGUAGGCGGUUCCGCGAGUCGGGUGUGAAAGCCCGGGGCUCAACCCCGGAAGGGCACUCGAUACUACGGAGCUGGAGUACUGAAGAGGAGAGCGGAAUUCCCGGUGUAGAGGUGAAAUUCGUAGAUAUCGGGAGGAACACCAGUGGCGAAGGCGGCUCUCUGGGCAGAUACUGACGCUGAGACGCGAAAGCGUGGGGAGCAAACAGGAUUAGAAACCCUAGUAGUCC
This 292-nucleotide ribosomal RNA is filed under the name uncultured bacterium. Its description in RNAcentral is "partial 16S ribosomal RNA". It matches the Rfam family "Bacterial small subunit ribosomal RNA", at positions 505 to 796 of the family's 1533-position model. The record is from RNAcentral.